UACGUAGGGUGCGAGCGUUAAUCGGAAUUACUGGGCGUAAAGCGUGCGCAGGCUGUUCUGUAAGUCAGAUGUGAAAUCCCCGAGCUCAACUUGGGAACUGCGUUUGAAACUACAGGACUAGAAUAUGUCGAGAGGGGGGUAGAAUUCCACGUGUAGCAGUGAAAUACGUAGAGAUGUGGAGGAAUACCAAUGGCGAAGGCAGCCCCCUGGGAUAAUAUUGACGCUCAUGCACGAAAGCGUGGGGAGCAAACAGG
RNAcentral lists this ribosomal RNA (254 nucleotides) under uncultured bacterium. RNAcentral's name for it is "partial 16S ribosomal RNA". It matches the Rfam family "Bacterial small subunit ribosomal RNA", at positions 524 to 776 of the family's 1533-position model. The record is from RNAcentral.